This 253-nucleotide ribosomal RNA is filed under the name uncultured bacterium. RNAcentral describes it as "partial 16S ribosomal RNA". It matches the Rfam family "Bacterial small subunit ribosomal RNA", at positions 524 to 776 of the family's 1533-position model. The record is from RNAcentral.
UACGUAGGAGGCAAGCGUUGUCCGGAAUUACUGGGCGUAAAGCGCGUGUAGGUGGUGGGACAAGUCUGCUGUGAAAGUGCCUGGCUUAACCGGGCGAGGUCGGCGGAAACUGUCCGACUCGAGGACGGUAGAGGGGGGUGGAAUUCCCGGUGUAGUGGUGAAAUGCGUAGAGAUCGGGAGGAACACCUGUGGCGAAGGCGGCCCCCUGGGCCGGCCCUGACACUGAGACGCGAAGGCGUGGGGAGCGAUCCGG